AUAGAAUGUAUGUUCUAUGUUUCAAGUUGUUAAUUUGCUUUUAGUUUUAAAACCUCUGUGGGCUUACUCCCUAAUUUGUUUCUAAUGUCUCGAUACUCUCUGGGAGAUGGUGGAAGAAAGCUUUGUACUUAAAACACAAUUAAUCAUUGACCUAGUAGUCGUAAUGCUUCAUAUAUCCUCCCUUCUUCUACUCAUAUGAAUCAUACACAAUCUGUUCUCA
Non-coding RNA from Pelobates cultripes (western spadefoot toad), 220 nucleotides. The record is from the annotation of a GenBank genome assembly. NCBI's taxonomy places the organism in Eukaryota, Metazoa, Chordata, Amphibia, Anura, Pelobatidae.